GACGAACGCUGGCGGCGUGCCUAAUACAUGCAAGUCGAACGCAGUGGGGACGGGGGAGUAACACGUGGGUAACCUCCCAUCAGAGGGGAUAACACUUGGAAACAGGUGCUAAACCGAUACUGAUGGAUGGACCCGGGGUGCAUUAGCUAGUUGGGGAGGUAAAGGCUCACAAAGGCGACGAUGCAUAGCCGGCCUGAGAGGUUGAUCGGCCACACGGGGACUGAGACACGGCCCAGACUCCUAAGGGAGGCAGCAGUAGGGAAUCUUCGGCAAUGGACGAAAGUCUGACCGAGCAACGCCGCGUGAGUGAAGAAGGUUUGCGGAUCGUAAAACUCUGUUGUUAGAGAAGCGGUAUCUAACCAGAAAGCAACGGCUAACUACGUGCCAGCCGCCGCGGUAAUUC
This 403-nucleotide ribosomal RNA is filed under the name uncultured bacterium. RNAcentral's name for it is "partial 16S ribosomal RNA". It matches the Rfam family "Bacterial small subunit ribosomal RNA", at positions 28 to 526 of the family's 1533-position model. The record is from RNAcentral.